GGAAGCGUCGCAUAGCGGUCAAUUGCACCGGUCUUGAAAACCGGAGGUUCACGCCUUCGUGGGUUCGAAUCCCACCGCUUCCGCCA
RNAcentral lists this transfer RNA (86 nucleotides) under bioreactor metagenome. RNAcentral's name for it is "tRNA-Ser". It matches the Rfam family "tRNA". From Rfam's summary of the family: Transfer RNA (tRNA) molecules are approximately 80 nucleotides in length. Their secondary structure includes four short double-helical elements and three loops (D, anti-codon, and T loops). The record is from RNAcentral.